ACCUAAUUAACCUAAUUUAAAACUUACCUCCUAUUCCUUCUUGCUUAAAUAUAAUAUAACAUAAAAAAAAAAAUAAAGACACCACAUAAUACUUAACUAAAAUAGAGAAACUAAUUAAAUCUUAAAAGCUUCUUACUUGUAUUGGACAUCAUUUCUUUUUGCAUUACAUAUUUUCAUAAAAUAUCUUAAGGGAAUAACCCAUAAACAACAUAAGGUAUGAAUUUCAUCACCCUCUCUUGGCCCACAAACCACCAUCCUGUAUUUGCAU
Molecule: long non-coding RNA, 268 nt
Filed under: Elaeis guineensis (African oil palm)
Lineage: Eukaryota; Viridiplantae; Streptophyta; Magnoliopsida; Arecales; Arecaceae
Description: long non-coding RNA (EGUI_LNC033835)
Source: RNAcentral